This 380-nucleotide ribosomal RNA is filed under the name Toxoplasma gondii. RNAcentral describes it as "SSU rRNA". It matches the Rfam family "Eukaryotic small subunit ribosomal RNA", at positions 697 to 1079 of the family's 1831-position model. Lineage: Eukaryota; Apicomplexa; Conoidasida; Eucoccidiorida; Sarcocystidae. The record is from RNAcentral.
UAGCAUCCUUCUGGAUUUCUCCACACUUCAUUGUGUGGAGUUUUUUCCAGGACUUUUACUUUGAGAAAAUUAGAGUGUUUCAAGCAGGCUUGUCGCCUUGAAUACUGCAGCAUGGAAUAAUAAGAUAGGAUUUCGGCCCUAUUUUGUUGGUUUCUAGGACUGAAGUAAUGAUUAAUGGGGACGGUUGGGGGCAUUCGUAUUUAACUGUCAGAGGUGAAAUUCUUAGAUUUGUUAAAGACGAACUACUGCGAAAGCAUUUGCCAAAGAUGUUUUCAUUAAUCAAGAACGAAAGUUAGGGGCUCGAAGACGAUCAGAUACCGUCGUAGUCUUAACCAUAAACUAUGCCGACUAGAGAUAGGAAAACGUCAUGCUUGACUUCU